Molecule: ribosomal RNA, 479 nt
Filed under: uncultured bacterium
Lineage: Bacteria
Description: bacterial SSU rRNA
Rfam family: Bacterial small subunit ribosomal RNA
Source: RNAcentral
GAUCAUGGCUACGAGGACGAACGCUGGCGGCGUGCUUAACACAUGCAAGUCGAACGGUAAGGCCCUUCGGGGUACACGAGUGGCGAACGGGUGAGUAACACGUGGGUGAUCUGCCCUGCACUUCGGGAUAAGCCUGGGAAACUGGGUCUAAUACCGGAUAGGACUCCGAAUCGCAUGGUUUGGGGUGGAAAGCUUUUGCGGUGUGGGAUGGGCCCGCGGCCUAUCAGCUUGUUGGUGGGGGUGAUGGCCUACCAAGGCGACGACGGGUAGCCGGCCUGAGAGGGUGUCCGGCCACACUGGGACUGAGAUACGGCCCAGACUCCUACGGGAGGCAGCAGGUGGGGAAUAUUGCACAAUGGGCGCAAGCCUGAUGCAGCGACGCCGCGUGGGGGAUGACGGCCUUCGGGUUGUAAACCUCUUUCAGCAGGGACGAAGGGUGACUGACGGUACCUGUAGAAGAAGCACCGGCCAACUACGUG